AACGAACGCUGGCGGCGCGCUUAACACAUGCAAGUCGAACGAGAAGCUGUAGCAAUACAGUUGUACAGUGGCGAACGGGUGAGGAAUACAUGGGUAACCUACCCUCGAGUGGGGAAUAACCAGCCGAAAGGCUGGCUAAUACCGCGUACGCUUUCCCAAUCUGCGGGUUGGGAAGGAAGCUCUACCGUGGGUAGAGCGCUCAAGGACGGGCUCAUGUCCUAUCAGCUUGNGGUAGGGUAACGGCCUACCAAGGCAACGACGGUAGCUGGUCUGAGAGGACGAUCAGCCACACUGGCACGUGCGACACGGGCCAGACUCCUACGGGAGGCAGCAGUGA
Molecule: ribosomal RNA, 337 nt
Filed under: uncultured bacterium
Lineage: Bacteria
Description: bacterial SSU rRNA
Rfam family: Bacterial small subunit ribosomal RNA
Source: RNAcentral